Molecule: long non-coding RNA, 1791 nt
Filed under: Sus scrofa (pig)
Lineage: Eukaryota; Metazoa; Chordata; Mammalia; Artiodactyla; Suidae
Description: lncRNA (ENSSSCG00025076420.1)
Source: RNAcentral
AUGGGAAGCACCGUUGCCAGCACCAUGAGGGUCAUAAAGAGGCCCAGUCACAUUGGGAUGGAAGUCCUCAUCCUCAGGCUCAGAGUGGUGAAUGGGAGGCGUGCCUUGCUCAGCCCCAGAGUGGAGACAAAUGGGUGUGGAAUUCACCAUAAUCUAUGGCAAGAAAUGGCCCUUACCCAUGGGAUUGAGAAUAUUAAUGCCAGGAAGAGGUCAGACAUUGAUAUUGAAGAGCAGACCUGUGUUGGAAUGAAUGCAGUUCUAGGGCGAGACUGGUGAAUGAAGAAGGGUAAGUAUGAAUGAGGGCUGACUAGAGCAUGACAGAGAAGAAGGUCAAAAGUACCACAUGUUAAGCUGAAGCCAAGGUUUUUGGGUUUUUUUUUCUCUUUUUUUGGCCAUCCCCAUGGCAUAUGGAGUUCCUGGGCCAGGGACCAGAUCUCAGCCAGAGCUGCUGGACCCUUAACCCACUUAACUCAUUGUGCCAGGCCAGGGAUUGAACCUGAGUGCUAGGGCUCCAGAGACACUUCUGAUCCUGCUGCACCAUAGCAGGAACUCCUGAAGCCAAGAGUCUAAUGAAAGAUUAAGGUGUUCUAAUAAAAGACAGCAAGUGCUCAGCAAAUGCUUCUCAACUGGAUAAAUCAGAAGAUGCUGGUCAGGGGAUCCUUGGCGGGUGAAGGUGCAGAGGCAACCAGCUUGGGAUGUUAAGGGUCUGCAGAGAGUGUAAUUGCGGCUUGAACUGGGGGCAUCCUUGGAAGAGUAGGUACCAAGCAACAGGAACAGAACACCGAAGCUGGGCUUGGUUAAGUGGGAUGGGGCAGAAACUGCUAAUGGCUUACCAGUAUCUACUCUCCCCAUUGUAACACAACCCAGAUUUUAAACUAGAUGACAAGGUGCCCAGUUGAAAGACAACAUUAGUCAGUCAUAUUUGCAGCUGGGAUGGCCACUAAGGUAUAAACAGAAGUUGGAACUAUAUUCAAUAUCCUGCGAUAAACCAUAAUGGAGAAGAAUAUGAAAAAGAAUAUAUAUGGUAUACAUAUGCAUAACUGAAUCACUUUACUGUAGAGCAGAAAUUAACAUAGCAUUGUAAAUCAACUACAUCUCAAUAAAUUUUUUUUAAAAAAGAGUUAUAAGUGGAGGUUGUUGCACGGGGGGUGGGGGGCGCUCUUCUGUGAAGAGGUGAUAGAAUACUAACAUACUUGUAUUUUUCCCUUUUCCCUUCUUCCUGUGCCUUCCUAGAAACGAAAGAUCAAUGUGAUGGUUAGAUCUUCAGCUAUUGAGUCAUGUAGUGAAUUUGAAAAUGGAAGCCAUAUCCUAAGGACAGCAGAACAAAAAGAUAGAGGAAACCUGGAACAUUGAUGACUCUGUAGCUCCCAUACCACUCAGAAUUCAGCCUUCCUUUGUAUGAGAAAUAAGAUAUUAUCUUAUUGAAGCUACUAUUAUUUCCUCCUUCACCUGGGACAUCACAAGCCUAGGGAUCUUUGGAAGGUUUCAAACAAAGAGUGAAGAAUUAGGGAUUUUAUUUGUUUAGUUUUUGGUUGUUUAUUUUUUAAGUUAAAUAGGCUGUAAAAUAAAAGUGUUUUAAUUUGAAAAAAUAGUCUCUGAGCUCUAUCAUAAAAGGAAUCAAGGGGUUAUAUAUUAUUGUAUUAUGUAUUUAUUUGGCUUAAACAAAAAGAGGGUUUUAUUUGCUUAUGUAAUUGAGAAAUCCAGAAGUUGGGUGGGCUUAGGUAAGGCCAUCUCUAGUAGCUGGAUAAGCCAACCAAGAUUCAGUGUCUUUCCAUUUCUUCUGAGUCUCCC